UCCUACGGGGGGCAGCAGUGAGGAAUAUUGGUCAAUGGGCGCAAGCCUGAACCAGCCAAGUCGCGUGAGGGAAGACGGCCCUACGGGUUGUAACCUCUUUUGCCGGGGAGCAAGCCUGAGCACGUGUGCCCAGGCGGAGAGUACCCGGAGAAAAAGCAUCGGCUAACUCCGUGCCAGCAGCCGCGGUAAUACGUAGGGAGCAAGCGUUAUCCGGAUUUAUUGGGUGUAAAGGGUGCGUAGACGGGUAUACAAGUUAGUAGUGAAAUCCCUCGGCUUAACUGAGGAACUGCUACUAAAACUAUAUA
This 305-nucleotide ribosomal RNA is filed under the name uncultured bacterium. Its description in RNAcentral is "bacterial SSU rRNA". It matches the Rfam family "Bacterial small subunit ribosomal RNA", at positions 337 to 639 of the family's 1533-position model. The record is from RNAcentral.